This 800-nucleotide ribosomal RNA is filed under the name uncultured Flavobacteriia bacterium. Its description in RNAcentral is "bacterial SSU rRNA". It matches the Rfam family "Bacterial small subunit ribosomal RNA", at positions 28 to 825 of the family's 1533-position model. The record is from RNAcentral. Lineage: Bacteria; Pseudomonadati; Bacteroidota; Flavobacteriia.
GAUGAACGCUAGCGGCAGGCCUAACACAUGCAAGUCGAGGGGUAACAUGAGUGCUUGCACUUGAUGACGACCGGCGCACGGGUGCGUAACGCGUAUACGAUCUACCCUGUACUGAGGGAUAGCCCAGAGAAAUUUGGAUUAAUACCUCAUAGUAUGUGAUUUUGGCAUCAUUAUCACAUUAAAGGUUACGGUACAAGAUGAGUAUGCGUCCUAUUAGUUAGUUGGUGUGGUAACGGCACACCAAGGCUACGAUAGGUAGGGGCCCUGAGAGGGGGAUCCCCCACACUGGUACUGAGACACGGACCAGACUCCUACGGGAGGCAGCAGUGAGGAAUAUUGGACAAUGGGCGAGAGCCUGAUCCAGCCAUGCCGCGUGCAGGAAGACUGCCCUAUGGGUUGUAAACUGCUUUUAUACAGGAAGAAACACUCGGACGUGUCCGAGCUUGACGGUACUGUAAGAAUAAGGAUCGGCUAACUCCGUGCCAGCAGCCGCGGUAAUACGGAGGAUCCAAGCGUUAUCCGGAAUCAUUGGGUUUAAAGGGUCCGCAGGCUGGCAAUUAAGUCAGAGGUGAAAGUUUGCGGCUCAACCGUAAAAUUGCCUUUGAAACUGGUUGUCUUGAAUUAUUGUGAAGUGGUUAGAAUAUGUAGUGUAGCGGUGAAAUGCAUAGAUAUUACAUAGAAUACCAAUUGCGAAGGCAGAUCACUAACAAUAUAUUGACGCUGAUGGACGAAAGCGUGGGGAGCGAACAGGAUUAGAUACCCUGGUAGUCCACGCCGUAAACGAUGGUUACUAGCUGUUC